GAUGAACGCUGGCGGCGUGCCUAAUACAUGCAAGUCGAGCGAACAGACGAGGAGCUUGCUCCUUUGACGUUAGCGGCGGACGGGUGAGUAACACGUAGGUAACCUACCUAUAAGACUGGGAUAACUUCGGGAAACCGGAGCUAAUACCGGAUAAUAUUUCGAACCGCAUGGUUCGAUAGUGAAAGAUGGCUUUGCUAUCACUUAUAGAUGGACCUGCGCCGUAUUAGCUAGUUGGUAAGGUAACGGCUUACCAAGGCAACGAUACGUAGCCGACCUGAGAGGGUGAUCGGCCACACUGGAACUGAGACACGGUCCAGACUCCUACGGGAGGCAGCAGUAGGGAAUCUUGCGCAAUGGGCGAAAGCCUGACGGAGCAACGCCGCGUGAGUGAUGAAGGUCUUCGGGUCGUAAAACUCUGUUAUUAGGGAAGAACAGACGUGUAAGUAACUGUGGACGUCUUGACGGUACCUAAUGAGAAAGCCACGGCUAACUACGUG
Molecule: ribosomal RNA, 497 nt
Filed under: uncultured bacterium
Lineage: Bacteria
Description: partial 16S ribosomal RNA
Rfam family: Bacterial small subunit ribosomal RNA
Source: RNAcentral